AUGCGUGGACGGAUGCUACAAGAAAAACGACGAAUGCGUGUCCCGGUGCCUCAAGGGCCUUUAGUUGACUCGACUCGACUCUACUACAUGUCUCGUUUGGUUCUAGGGAGCUCAGCUCAUUUGUUGUCAUGUCCUGUCGUGUCAUUUCUUUCCUUCCCUCGUGAAGUCAUGUAUGUGUUGUCAUCAUCCCUUCUUGCGUGCUUGCUUGAUCGUUGUCUUAGUUUCUAUGUCACAAUAAACGGACAAUACUUGCAGCUAAUGUUUCGAUCGAUUGUGAUUUCAUACAUUGUACUAGUACCAAUUUUUUUUUACAUCAAAACUAGUGCAGACACGCACACGCUCACAUUUACGUACACACAUUCAUCCCUAUGA
Molecule: ribosomal RNA, 372 nt
Filed under: Triticum aestivum (bread wheat)
Lineage: Eukaryota; Viridiplantae; Streptophyta; Magnoliopsida; Poales; Poaceae
Description: partial small subunit ribosomal RNA
Source: RNAcentral